UUUACUUCCUGCAGCAGGUGGUGGGGCCAUGUGGAAAUGGCUUCUUUACUUGAAGUCUGCUAAGAUGUCACUGAAAAUAUUGAGGAACAGGUGAGCGUGGUGAUCCCUGAAGACCAGCGUGGGACGGAAACGAAUGGAUUUGUCACCACAGCCACCCAACACCACACCUGAAAGAGGCAGGAGAGAUGGAGUCUCACUCUGUCACCCAGGCUGGGGUGCAGUGGCAACCCAGUCUCACUCACUGCAACCUCCACCUCCCAGGUUGAAGCCAUUCUCCUGCCUCAGUCUCCCAAGUAGCUGGGAUUACAGGUGCCGCCACCAUGGCCAGCUAAUUUUUGUAUUUUUAGUAGAGAUGAGGUUUUGCCCUGUUGACCAGGCUGGUCUCGAACUCCUGACUUCAGCUGAUCUGCCCACGUCGGCCUCCCAAAGUGCUGGGAUUACAGGCGUGAGCUACUGCACCCGGCCUGUUUAUGCCUUUGAGACCACGUUUUCUCAUUUUUAAAAUGGAGGUUGAUUAUCCCUGCCCUUCUGAGGCUGCUGCAAGGAUUCUGUAAGAUGGCA
RNAcentral lists this small RNA (561 nucleotides) under Pan troglodytes (chimpanzee). RNAcentral describes it as "processed transcript". The record is from RNAcentral. Lineage: Eukaryota; Metazoa; Chordata; Mammalia; Primates; Hominidae.